AUUGAACGCUAGCGGGAUGCUUUACACAUGCAAGUCGAACGGCAGCGCGGACUUCGGUCUGGCGGCGAGUGGCGAACGGGUGAGUAAUGUAUCGGAACGUGCCCAGUAGCGGGGGAUAACUACGCGAAAGCGUAGCUAAUACCGCAUACGCCCUACGGGGGAAAGCAGGGGAUCGUAAGACCUUGCACUAUUGGAGCGGCCGAUAUCGGAUUAGCUAGUUGGUGAGGUAACGGCUCACCAAGGCGACGAUCCGUAGCUGGUUUGAGAGGACGACCAGCCACACUGGGACUGAGACACGGCCCAGACUCCUACGGGAGGCAGCAGUGGGGAAUUUUGGACAAUGGGGGCAACCCUGAUCCAGCCAUCCCGCGUGUGCGAUGAAGGCCUUCGGGCUGUAAAGCACUUUUGGCAGGAAAGAAACGUCGCGGGCUAAUACCCCGUGGAACUGACGGUACCUGCAGAAUAAGCACCGGCUAACUACGUG
RNAcentral lists this ribosomal RNA (484 nucleotides) under uncultured bacterium. RNAcentral describes it as "partial 16S ribosomal RNA". It matches the Rfam family "Bacterial small subunit ribosomal RNA", at positions 30 to 507 of the family's 1533-position model. The record is from RNAcentral.